UACGGGGGGGGCAAGCGUUGUUCGGAAUUACUGGGCGUAAAGGGCUCGUAGGCGGCCAACUAAGUCAGACGUGAAAUCCCUCGGCUUAACCGGGGAACUGCCUCUGAUACUGGAUGGCUUGAGAUUGGGAGAGGGAUGCGGAAUUCCAGGUGUAGCGGUGAAAUGCGUAGAUAUCUGGAGGAACACCGGUGGCGAAGGCGGCAUCCUGGACCAACACUGGCGCUGAGGAGCGAAAGCCAGGGGAGCAAACAGG
Molecule: ribosomal RNA, 253 nt
Filed under: uncultured bacterium
Lineage: Bacteria
Description: partial 16S ribosomal RNA
Rfam family: Bacterial small subunit ribosomal RNA
Source: RNAcentral